UUCAGGUGUAAAUCACAACUGAGGCUUAUGGCUGCUAUUUUUAAAGGGGGCCCACAGCAAUCUUUUGGCUACAUUUAUGGUGCUAGAAGCUAUGCUAUAGUUUUAGUGCACUGGUUCAGGCAGGUGUUUGGUGUCAAGAGUUUGGUAGUUGUCCGUAACUACAGCAGUUUAUCACUGGGGCAAGUUCACAAACCCACGUUUUUCUGUCUCUCUGUGAAUUUGGUAAUACAUUUACCAUGACAACCAACACUUUGAAAGAAAUGGUGUGACUGUAGAGCUAACGGCAUGUGCUUCUGUGCUUACUCACAAUUAAUGUACUCCAGUAACCAGAAAUCUGGGUCAUGCUGAUCCACUGGGGAUAACUUAACCAAGAUAGCCAGAACUCCUUGCAUGUCAAGAGAAGUCCUGUAUGGGAGUCUAAAUUGUGCAAGUUCAAAAACCAUGUGAAUAUUUAAAAGUUAUAUGUUUCUCCCCUAAAUUCCAAAUAUUCAAUUUCUUAAUGUUUUUGGCUUUGCUUUUUAUAUUCAAAAUGGCCUCUCUGUGUACGCCAGGCUGACCUCAUAUUCAAAACUAAUGAAUACCAAAUUGUUAUUACUAUAUAGUGCCUGUUUAGCACAAGGAACACUUUUUAAUGGGUGCUUUGAGAUUUUCGUGAAUAAUUUGCUAACUUGUGCUUCUAUUUUAAUACGCAAUUAUCUUUUUCAAACUCUAGCAUUUAUUAAUUUUUAUUUUAUUUUUUUAGCGUUUAUGGAAUCGGACUCAGGGUCUUGCACAUUCUUGGCAAGCACUCUCCCUACUGUGCUCUGCUCCAAGCCCAGGCUAAGAAAUACCUCGCACUCGCCCAUCGAUAGGGAAAGAAACUGCGUACUCUGUCCUGCCUCCAUUUCCGGAUCUGAUCGGGACGGAUCGACGCAGAGAGAGCGACAACCCUGCCUUCCCGCGUCCAACCAGGGAAAAGGAGCGGGCUGGGACACGCAUGCGCUUUCCGAAGUUUGUGGAGUUCCGUUCCUCUUGUUUUUGUAAAAGUCACCUAGGGAGAAGAGGCUGAGUCACUUCCUCCAUGCUUUUACCUUGGGGCGCUGGGAAGGGACCCCAAGGGCCUCGCGAGUGUUAGGCGUGUACUCUAGCCACUUUCUCAUUUCUGUGGCGCAGUUCUGCUACGCCAGCCUGUCAUUGUCAUCACUACUACUUCCGCCGCGCUCUCCGGCGCCACGUGGCUUCACUCCUGUGAGAACUCGGCUGUCACUCUCCUUUUCGUCCCGGGAGCCGUUCGCGUCCCUUGGAACCUGGGCGUGGCUCUUUCUGCGCACGCACAGCGCUUUAAACCCCACUGGCGGGAGGGCACAGCGCCCCCUAGCGAGCGACGCCCGGGACACAAAACGAGGCUCAACGCCACCCUUGCGCACGCGCAGUGCACGUUCGGCGGGAGCGCAGUUUGGCGCCUCGGAGAGGGCGCGCGGCGCACCCGGCGGCCCAGGGCGAUGCGCACAAAGGCCGGCGGGCAGGGUUUCGGGAGGCUGUGUAGGGACCGAACGGUACCCAUCGUGCCGCUUGCCUCCGCUGUGGGGUCUCCUCUACCUUGAGGUGCUUGUAUUUUGGGGCUUGUGGUGUCUCUGGGCUUUUGCGUCAUACUUCAUAAUGGAGGGCGCCAGACCUAGGGCAAGCUUCUAAACUUGCGGCGUAGAACCGGAUACCGGAAGUUCCUCGGGCAGGCUCCCGGAAGUGAUCCAGUCAAAGAACUAAUCGCAUAAACCUUAUCCUAGUUCCCAGGGCGGCAAGAGGAGGUAUAUGGCUGUAUAAACGUGAAACUACAAGGGUUGCGUGGAGAACCCGGGCCCCUUCACACUUGGCUCGCGUUCCUUUUUUAAGGUGUUGCUGCAGAGAGGGAGUUUACUCGAGCUCCAUAUGAGUGACUGGUCCGGGAUGACAGAUUCAAGUCAUUUCAAACUCCAUUUUUAAUGUAGUAACGACUUGAUAAAGUUUUAUAUAACAGAACAAAGUUAUAAAUCAAGAAAGACACGUUUCAAAUCCUUGUGUUCCUCGCAUUCAAUGCUGACCCCGAACCCUACUUAGAGGCUGCUGUGUACAUGAAUUAAAAAUUGCUUUAAUUGGUUGCUUUGAUUAAUUAA
Long non-coding RNA from Mus musculus (house mouse), 2129 nucleotides. RefSeq annotates it as predicted gene, 38883. The transcript has 2 exons. The record is from RefSeq and is a predicted model, not a curated record. Lineage: Eukaryota; Metazoa; Chordata; Mammalia; Rodentia; Muridae.